RNAcentral lists this transfer RNA (69 nucleotides) under Ovis aries (sheep). It matches the Rfam family "tRNA". Rfam says of the family: Transfer RNA (tRNA) molecules are approximately 80 nucleotides in length. Lineage: Eukaryota; Metazoa; Chordata; Mammalia; Artiodactyla; Bovidae. The record is from Rfam by way of RNAcentral.
CCUGGUGGCUCAGAUGGUAAAGAAUCUGCCUGCAACGCAGGAGACCCGGGUUCAAUUCCUGGGUCAGGA